AAAAAGGCAAACCGUGGGUUCCCGUGCCAACGUUUGACUGUCUGUCUUAUAUGAAAUUUUUUUAUAAUUAGUAUUUUCAUUGUUGUUGUUAGAUGAUAAAACAUGAUUAAUACUUUAUGCGUGACUUAUUUUUUUUAAUUUUUUUCAUAACUUUUCAAAUAAGACGAACAGUCAAACGUUGAACACAGAAACCAGGGUUUGUCUUUUU
This is a microRNA precursor of Oryza sativa Japonica Group (Japanese rice), 208 nucleotides long. It matches the Rfam family "MIR812 microRNA precursor family". NCBI's taxonomy places the organism in Eukaryota, Viridiplantae, Streptophyta, Magnoliopsida, Poales, Poaceae. The record is from Rfam.